UACAGAGGUCUCAAGCGUUGUUCGGAUUCAUUGGGCGUAAAGGGUGCGUAGGCGGCGGGGCAAGUCUGAUGUGAAAUCCCGGGGCUCAACCCCGGAACUGCAUUGGAUACUGCCUUGCUUGAGGACUGGAGAGGAGACUGGAAUUCACGGUGUAGCAGUGAAAUGCGUAGAGAUCGUGAGGAAGACCAGUGGCGAAGGCGGGUCUCUGGACAGUUCCUGACACUGAGGCACGAAGGCCAGGGGAGCAAACGGG
Molecule: ribosomal RNA, 253 nt
Filed under: uncultured bacterium
Lineage: Bacteria
Description: partial 16S ribosomal RNA
Rfam family: Bacterial small subunit ribosomal RNA
Source: RNAcentral